RNAcentral lists this long non-coding RNA (445 nucleotides) under Physcomitrium patens. Its description in RNAcentral is "long non-coding RNA (PPAT_LNC010879)". The record is from RNAcentral. Lineage: Eukaryota; Viridiplantae; Streptophyta; Bryopsida; Funariales; Funariaceae.
GUCUUCAAAUUUUUUGAAUUUUUUUGUACCUAAAAGAUUGAAAGGUAUAUAAAACUUUAAAUAAGAUCAAUGAUUUAAUCAAAAGAUAUUGAAGUUCUAAACUACCUUAGAAUUUGGUUAGAGUUUGAUUUAAAGUUUAAGAUUUUAUUAAGAUUUGAUUUAGGAUUUGAUUUAGGAUUUAGGAUUUGAUUAGGAUUUGAUUAGUAUUUGGUUUAAAAUUUAGGAUUUGAUUAAAAUUUGAUUUAUAAUUUAGAAUUUAGUUAGAAUUUGAUUAAGAUAUGAUUUAAAGUAUAAGAUUUAGUUGAGAUUUGGUUUAGGAUUUAGGAUUCAUUUAAGAUUAAAUUUAGAUUUUGAUUUUUAUCUAAGAUUUAAUUUAGGAUUUAGGAUUUGUCUAGAGUUUGAUUGAAGUCCAUUAUGCUUUCAAUAAGCGUUAAAUUAAAACUUG